Molecule: long non-coding RNA, 903 nt
Organism: Helianthus annuus (common sunflower)
Lineage: Eukaryota; Viridiplantae; Streptophyta; Magnoliopsida; Asterales; Asteraceae
Exons: 3
Source: RefSeq, a predicted model, not a curated record
CAUAUCUGAAGGAUAGAACUCGGAAUAAAUAGUAUAUUACAUUAAAUCCACCACAAUUAUAGUUGUGGUGGAAGACUAAUCAAUAUGAAUAGGUGGAGUUAUAAGGCAUACAAGGAAUGAGCGUAAUUUAAGCUUAAAAGUGCAUAAAUACCCUUAACGGGUCAAAAUAAGAUUAUAAGCAAAAACGGGUCAAUGAUGCUUAAAAACCCAUGAAUUGAACCUUGUACAAUAGGAAAUAAUUAUAAUAUUAUGUUCACGAAAAACCGGAGGCGACAAACAAGUUUGUUGUAACACCCCAAAAAUUGAUUAAUAUGAAAAUAAGUAAAAGUGAAUAGAACCUAACUUAGUUAAUGGGUUAUGAUAAAUGAUAAGUUAAAUGAUGAAAAAGGCUUGAAUAAAACACUUAACAAACUUGGAGGGGGUAAUGUGAAAAGUUUCAAUUAAAUGGGGAUUAAUGAGGUGUAAUCCCAAAAAUACACUCCUGGCGCGUGUUUUGGGAUCGAUCAGAGCAGGGAAGACAAGGUUAACCCUUGUUCUUGCAAGAUUCAUCAAAUCAACAAGGGAAUUCAAGGUCGAUCAGUUGCAUGUCACCAAAUUUUCGAUUUACUUGUCAUACUCAAUAGAGUGGCAUGAAGGAAGAAGGUUCAAAUACUAGGAAAUCGGAAGGUUCACAAGAUCGAGCUAAAUCGUCAAUGUUGGCGACUUGGCAAAUUGGAGCGAGCAUAUGCAUACUUUAUGAUCAUCAAGCGCUUCCGCAAUUAUGUAUUAAUGUUUUGGGUCAAAUGCUUGUUUUUGUAUAACACUAUUAGUAGUUACACUUGUUAAUACUUGGUGUAUGGUUUUUAGUCGUGUCUAGUCGAACGAGUCGUAAACUUGUUUGUUUAAUGAUGGUUAAUACAGGGA